Molecule: long non-coding RNA, 434 nt
Organism: Bactrocera neohumeralis
Lineage: Eukaryota; Metazoa; Arthropoda; Insecta; Diptera; Tephritidae
Exons: 2
Source: RefSeq, a predicted model, not a curated record
UUAGCUGUUAAUAGCUUUCACUCAACGGUUAACAGCUUUCACUCAACUGGCAAUGGUUUCGUUAAAAUUCCCGGUUAGCAAGCGAUCCUGCUAAUCAGCUAGGGACACUUUUGGUUUCAGAAUCGAGACGACGACGUGCACUUUUCCACCGGCCACCACAACAACCACCACCAAUACUCAGUUUUUUUGGCACUGUACACCAGCGGAAUAUCAAUACUCAGCAAGUUUCCUCAAAACACCAAUCCUCAGUUUUUUUUGGCAUUGCACAAAUACAAACGAGGCGUUGCACACCAACGGACACAUAUCACCAAUUCUUGUUGCACUUCCAACCAACGCAGGCAAACCAGGUACGUGAUUGCUUUAAUAUCACUUGGAUACCAAUCGUUUUUUAAAAAAAAAAAAAAAAAAAAAAAAAAAAAGGAUAUAUAUAAAAA